GACGAACGCUGGCGGCGUGCUUAACACAUGCAAGUCGAACGGAGAGGCCCUGCUUUUGUGGGGUGCUCGAGUGGCGAACGGGUGAGUAACACGUGAGUAACCUGUCCUUGACUUUGGGAUAACUUCAGGAAACUGGGGCUAAUACCGGAUAGGAGCUCCUGCUGCAUGGUGGGGGUUGGAAAGUUUCGGCGGUUGGGGAUGGACUCGCGGCUUAUCAGCUUGUUGGUGGGGUAGUGGCUUACCAAGGCUUUGACGGGUAGCCGGCCUGGGAGGGUGACCGGCCACAUUGGGACUGAGAUACGGCCCAGACUCCUACGGGAGGCAGCAGUGGGGAAUAUUGCACAAUGGGCGGAAGCCUGAUGCAGCAACGCCGCGUGCGGAAUGACGGCCUUCGGGUUGUAAACCGCUUUCGCCUGUGACGAAGCGUGAGUGGCGGUAAUGGGUAAAGAAGCACCGGCUAACUACGUG
Molecule: ribosomal RNA, 468 nt
Filed under: uncultured bacterium
Lineage: Bacteria
Description: partial 16S ribosomal RNA
Rfam family: Bacterial small subunit ribosomal RNA
Source: RNAcentral